AGAGUUUGAUCCUGGCUCAGGAUGAACGCUAGCGGCAGGCCUAAUACAUGCAAGUCGAACGGUGUCUUCGGACAUAGUGGCGCACGGGUGCGUAACACGUAUGCAACCUACCUUACAUUGGGGGAUAGCCUUUCGAAAGGGAGAUUAAUACCGCAUAAGACAGUAGCUGGGCAUCCAGCAGCUGUUAAAGAUUUAUCGAUGUAAGAUGGGCAUGCGUCCAAUUAGUUAGUUGGCGAGGUAACGGCUCACCAAGACUUUGAUUGGUAGGGGAACUGAGAGGUCAAUCCCCCACACUGGCACUGAGAUACGGGCCAGACUCCUACGGGAGGCAGCAGUAGGGAAUAUUGGGCAAUGGACGCAAGUCUGACCCAGCCAUGCCGCGUGCAGGAUGAAGGCGUUAUGCGUUGUAAACUGCUUUUAUACAGGAAGAAACGACUCUUGCGAGAGGCAUUGACGGUACUGUAUGAAUAAGCACCGGCUAACUCCGUGCCAGCAGCCGCGGUAAUACGGAGGGUGCAAGCGUUGUCCGGAUUUAUUGGGUUUAAAGGGUGCGCAGGUGGUUUAUUAAGUCAGUGGUGAAAGACGGUCGCUCAACGAUUGCAGUGCCAUUGAAACUGGUAGACUUGAGUAAAGUAGAGGUGGGCGGAAUUGAUAGUGUAGCGGUGAAAUGCAUAGAUAUUAUCAAGAACUCCAAUUGCGUAGGCAGCUCACUUGGCUUUUACUGACACUCAUGCACGAAAGUGUGGGUAUCAAACAGGAUUAGAUACCCUGGUAGUCCACACUGUAAACGAUGAUAACUAGGUGUCGGCCGAAUCUGGUCGGUGCCACAGCGAAAGCGUUAAGUUAUCCACCUGGGGAGUACGCCGGCAACGGUGAAACUCAA
Molecule: ribosomal RNA, 883 nt
Filed under: uncultured bacterium
Lineage: Bacteria
Description: bacterial SSU rRNA
Rfam family: Bacterial small subunit ribosomal RNA
Source: RNAcentral